GUGGCUGUAGCUCAGUCGGUAGUAGCACCUGAUUGUGGUUCAGGAGGUCGCGAGUUCAAGUCUCGUCAGCCACC
Molecule: transfer RNA, 74 nt
Filed under: Alloscardovia omnicolens
Lineage: Bacteria; Bacillati; Actinomycetota; Actinomycetes; Bifidobacteriales; Bifidobacteriaceae
Also listed under: 3 other names
Description: tRNA-His
Rfam family: tRNA
About the family: Transfer RNA (tRNA) molecules are approximately 80 nucleotides in length.
Source: RNAcentral